CUGAGUGUAAAAACUCCCAAACCAAUGUGAACAUACCACUGUUGCUUCGGCGGCCUCGUCCCGCGGAGCGUCUUCCCCCCAGGGGGCUGGCGCGGCCCGGACCCAGGCGACCGCCGGAGGACCCAAACUCUUGCCUUUAUAGUGCAUAUCUGAGUGGCAUAAGCAAAAUAAAUCA
RNAcentral lists this unclassified non-coding RNA (175 nucleotides) under uncultured Hypocreales. Its description in RNAcentral is "sequence contains ITS1". The record is from RNAcentral. Lineage: Eukaryota; Fungi; Ascomycota; Sordariomycetes; Hypocreales.